This 253-nucleotide ribosomal RNA is filed under the name uncultured bacterium. RNAcentral describes it as "partial 16S ribosomal RNA". It matches the Rfam family "Bacterial small subunit ribosomal RNA", at positions 524 to 776 of the family's 1533-position model. The record is from RNAcentral.
UACAGAGGUCUCAAGCGUUGUUCGGAUUCAUUGGGCGUAAAGGGUGCGUAGGUGGCGCGGUAAGUCGGGUGUGAAAUUUCGGAGCUUAACUCCGAAACUGCAUUUGAUACUGGCGUGCUUGAGGACUGGAGAGGAGACUGGAAUUCACGGUGUAGCAGUGAAAUGCGUAGAGAUCGUGAGGAAGACCAGUGGCGAAGGCGGGUCUCUGGACAGUUCCUGACACUGAGGCACGAAGGCCAGGGGAGCAAACGGG